Molecule: ribosomal RNA, 301 nt
Filed under: uncultured bacterium
Lineage: Bacteria
Description: partial 16S ribosomal RNA
Rfam family: Bacterial small subunit ribosomal RNA
Source: RNAcentral
CAGUCGCCACGGUAAUACGAAGGGUGCAAGCGUUACUCGGAAUUACUGGGCGUGAAGCGUGCGUAGGUGGUGGUUUAAGUCCGUUGUGAAAGCCCUGGGCUCAACCUGGGAAUUGCAGUGGAUACUGGAUCACUAGAGUGUGGUAGAGGAUAGUGGAAUUUCCGGUGUAGCAGUGAAAUGCGUAGAGAUCGGAAGGAACAUCUGUGGCGAAGGCGACUAUCUGGGCCAACACUGACACUGAGGCACGAAAGCGUGGGGAGCAAACAGGAUUAGAUACCCCCGUAGUCCCUGUCUCUUAUAC